This 66-nucleotide transfer RNA is filed under the name Galeruca interrupta. Its description in RNAcentral is "tRNA-Ala". Lineage: Eukaryota; Metazoa; Arthropoda; Insecta; Coleoptera; Chrysomelidae. The record is from RNAcentral.
AGGAUAAUAGUUUAAAAAAAACAUUUGAUUUGCAUUUAAAAAAUAUUUUAUAGUAAAUUUAUCUUA